Molecule: ribosomal RNA, 440 nt
Filed under: uncultured bacterium
Lineage: Bacteria
Description: partial 16S ribosomal RNA
Rfam family: Bacterial small subunit ribosomal RNA
Source: RNAcentral
CCUACGGGAGGCAGCAGUGGGGAAUAUUGCACAAUGGGGGAAACCCUGAUGCAGCGACGCCGCGUGAGUGAAGAAGUAAUUCGUUAUGUAAAGCUCUAUCAGCAGGGAAGAAAAUGACGGUACCUGAGUAAGAAGCCCCGGCUAACUACGUGCCAGCAGCCGCGGUAAUACGUAGGGGGCAAGCGUUAUCCGGAUUUACUGGGUGGAAAGGGAGCGUAGACGGGAGUGCAAGUCUGGAGUGAAAGGCGGGGGCUCAACCCCCGGACUGCUCUGGAAACUGUACGGCUGGAGUGCAGGAGAGGUAAGUGGAAGUCCUGGUGUAGCGGUGAAAUGCGUAGAUAUUAGGAGGAACACCAGUGGCGAAGGCGGCUUACUGGACUGUAACUGACGUUGAGGCUCGAAAGCGUGGGGAGCAAACAGGAUUAGAUACCCCUGUAGUC